RNAcentral lists this ribosomal RNA (117 nucleotides) under Phascolarctos cinereus (koala). Lineage: Eukaryota; Metazoa; Chordata; Mammalia; Diprotodontia; Phascolarctidae. The record is from RNAcentral.
ACAUGUCACCAUAAUACCCUGAACAUGAAUGAUUUUGUCCUCUGUCAGAAAGUAAGCAGGUGGGCCUGGUUGGUUCUUGGAUGGGAGACCACCUAGGAAUAUGAGGUGUUGUAGGGU